UACAGGGGGGGCAAGCGUUGUUCGGAAUUACUGGGCGUAAAGGGCUCGUAGGUGGCCAACUAAGUCAGACGUGAAAUCCCUCAGCUUAACUGGGGAACUGCGUCUGAUACUGGAUGGCUUGAGUUUGGGAGAGGGAUGCGGAAUUCCAGGUGUAGCGGUGAAAUGCGUAGAUAUCUGGAGGAACACCGGUGGCGAAGGCGGCAUCCUGGACCAAUACUGACACUGAGGAACGAAAGCCAGGGGAGCAAACGGG
Molecule: ribosomal RNA, 253 nt
Filed under: uncultured bacterium
Lineage: Bacteria
Description: partial 16S ribosomal RNA
Rfam family: Bacterial small subunit ribosomal RNA
Source: RNAcentral